GGGGCUGUAGCUCACUUGGCUAGAGCGCCUCGUUUGCACCGAGGAGGUAAAGGGUUCGACUCCCUUCAGCUCCACCA
Molecule: transfer RNA, 77 nt
Filed under: bacterium
Lineage: Bacteria
Also listed under: 2 other names
Description: tRNA-Ala
Rfam family: tRNA
About the family: Transfer RNA (tRNA) molecules are approximately 80 nucleotides in length.
Source: RNAcentral